GACGAACGCCGGCGGCGUGCCUAAUACAUGCAAGUAGAACGCUGAAGGAGGAGCUUGCUCUUCUGGAUGAGCUGCGAACGGGUGAGUAACGCGUAGGUAACCUGCCUGGUAGCGGGGGAUAACUAUUGGAAACGAUAGCUAAUACCGCAUAAGAGUAGAUGUCGCAUGACAUUUGCUUAAAAGGUGCAAUUGCAUCACUACCAGAUGGACCUGCGUUGUAUUAGCUAGUUGGUGAGGUAACGGCUCACCAAGGCAACGAUACAUAGCCGACCUGAGAGGGUGAUCGGCCACACUGGGACUGAGACACGGCCCAGACUCCUACGGGAGGCAGCAGUAGGGAAUCUUCGGCAAUGGACGGAAGUCUGACCGAGCAACGCCGCGUGAGUGAAGAAGGUUUUCGGAUCGUAAAGCUCUGUUGUAAAGUGAAGAAACGAGUGUGAGAAGUGGAAAAGUUUCAACAACUGGG
Molecule: ribosomal RNA, 466 nt
Filed under: Streptococcus mitis
Lineage: Bacteria; Bacillati; Bacillota; Bacilli; Lactobacillales; Streptococcaceae
Description: bacterial SSU rRNA
Rfam family: Bacterial small subunit ribosomal RNA
Source: RNAcentral